RNAcentral lists this ribosomal RNA (200 nucleotides) under uncultured bacterium. RNAcentral's name for it is "partial 16S ribosomal RNA". It matches the Rfam family "Bacterial small subunit ribosomal RNA", at positions 8 to 218 of the family's 1533-position model. The record is from RNAcentral.
AGAGUUUGAUCCUGGCUCAGGACGAACGCUGGCGGCGUGCUUAACACAUGCAAGUCGAACGAGGCGCUUUUGCGCUUAGUGGCGAACGGGUGAGUAACACGUGAGCAACCUGCCCUUGGCUCUGGGAUAGCCUCCGGAAACGGGGAUUAAUACCGGAUGUGACCUUGGUCUGCAUGGACCGGGGUGGAAAGUUUUUUCGG